RNAcentral lists this ribosomal RNA (495 nucleotides) under uncultured bacterium. RNAcentral's name for it is "bacterial SSU rRNA". It matches the Rfam family "Bacterial small subunit ribosomal RNA", at positions 29 to 512 of the family's 1533-position model. The record is from RNAcentral.
AGUGAACGCUGGCGGCAGGCCUAAUACAUGCAAGUCGAACGGCAGCACAGCAGAGCUUGCUCUGUGGGUGGCGAGUGGCGGACGGGUGAGGAAUACAUGGGAAUCUGCCCAGUCGUGGGGGAUAACGUAUGGAAACGUACGCUAAUACCGCAUGCGCCCUACGGGGGAAAGCCGGGGACCGCAAGGCCUGGCGCGAUUGGAUGAGCCCAUGUUCGAUUAGCUAGUUGGCGGGGUAAAGGCCCACCAAGGCGACGAUCGAUAGCUGGUCUGAGAGGAUGAUCAGCCACACUGGAACUGAGACACGGUCCAGACUCCUACGGGAGGCAGCAGUAGGGAAUAUUGGACAAUGGGGGCAACCCUGAUCCAGCCAUGCCGCGUGAGUGAAGAAGGCCCUCGGGUUGUAAAGCUCUUUUGUCCGGAAAGAAAAGCAAUCGGUUAAUACCCGGUUGUUCUGACGGUACCGGAAGAAUAAGCACCGGCUAACUUCGUGCCAGC